UAAAUACCCAAGAAGAUGAUUUGAUCAUUUUGUUUCCAAGGAAGAACGCUGACAGAAAGAAUCAUAUAUUGAACCUUAGAAUAGCAGACAUUCAGAUCAACUCUGUAGUCCGCAGUGUAGCUCUGCUAGCAGUUUACACUACAAUAAAAGAACAUGUAAAGUAAGAGGAUAAAUAAAUACUUCUCCAGCAGUAUGUGGUUUUCUCAGUGAAAACAAAAUGAAUUCUACAAAACCACAUCUAUGCAGAUAUGCUCCGCAGGAGGAAAAUGCAUGCUUACCCAGUAUAUUAUAUAAAAAAUACCAUAUAAAACCAAUAUAAAUACGACACCAAGACAGCUACUUAUCAGGCUACCACAGGAUGUAACCAAUUGAUGCAAUAACACACACCUAAAGCAGUAGAGUGAAUAAAAAGAGGUGGUUGUGAAGCAGUAGUCAUUGUGUAACAGACAUACAUUUAAUCCUCUAAUGUAGAACCGGAGAUAUCAAUACAUACAUCAAGAUGACUAUUUUGUAGAGUAACUCGAGAAAAGAAUUAACAUGUUUGCCUGUUUUAAAAGCUCAAGUGAAUAUGCAGUUUGAUUACAACCAUACUCAACCAUGUAUCCGGUCAUCUGUUCUUUACUCUCAUGUAAUUAAGAGAAACUCACUUCUUGUAGGUAUCAUGUGACACUGUCUUAUCAACACUAUUAUAAAUAAAAUUAACCAAUGGAAUGCGGCUGGAACCUAGUGGGUGGAGCAAGAGAUUCGAUACUGUACUUCCCCUAAGCUGGUACUGAAGGCAUAUAAUUUAUUCGUCAGAUUUAGGUAUUCUGUGAUGGCCAGGUUAUCAAUGUAGAUGCUUUACAAAUGUGUCAAAAGUGUUCUGUCUCAAUGUAGAUGCAGUAACAUAUAUGUAUUCUGCACAUGCAGUAUUCUUCAUAUAUUCUGCAGAUACAUCAACCCUAUUCUUAUUAUAAAGAUGGCCAGGUUAUCAGUAUUCUUGUUUUAACACAAGUUCAGUCUAAUGAGUACAG
RNAcentral lists this ribosomal RNA (1013 nucleotides) under Triticum aestivum (bread wheat). RNAcentral describes it as "partial small subunit ribosomal RNA". The record is from RNAcentral. Lineage: Eukaryota; Viridiplantae; Streptophyta; Magnoliopsida; Poales; Poaceae.